UACGUAGGGGGCAAGCGUUGUCCGGAUUUAUUGGGCGUAAAGAGCGUGUAGGCGGCCAGACAGGUCAGCUGUGAAAACUCGAGGCUCAACCUCGAGACGUCGGUUGAAACCAUCUGGCUAGAGUCCGGAAGAGGAGAGUGGAAUUCCCGGUGUAGCGGUGAAAUGCGCAGAUAUCGGGAAGAACACCCGUGGCGAAGGCGGCUCUCUGGGACGGUACUGACGCUGAGACGCGAAGGCGUGGGGAGCGAACAGG
Molecule: ribosomal RNA, 253 nt
Filed under: uncultured bacterium
Lineage: Bacteria
Description: partial 16S ribosomal RNA
Rfam family: Bacterial small subunit ribosomal RNA
Source: RNAcentral